AGAAGAAAGAGAGCUGUAUACCUAGGAGACUACAGCAACAAAUUUAGAGCAACCACAUCAGUCCAUGUAUUUUACACAUCUAUUUUUACACUAAAAGCCUACUUUUUCUAUUUUACACAUUCACUUUUACAAAACACCCACAUCAGUUCAUCUAUUUUAUCACCUCCUUUAUUUAAAUAAUCAAUUUUUUCAAUUUUUUUUAUUAUUUCCUCAACUAACCACUUUAUUAUACGCGCGUUCUCAUUUUUUCUAUACAACUCUCUCUUUCUUUUCUGAUAAAGCUCUCUCUUUUCUGAUAAAGCUCUCUCUCUCUCUCUCCGGGAACCCAUUUUUAGUUCUCAUUUUUUCUUUUCUGAUAAAGCUCUCUCUCUCUCUCUCUCUGGGAACCCAUCUCUGGGAACCCAUUAUUUCUUUUCUGAUAAAGCUCUCUCUCUCUCUUUGGGAACCCAUUUUUCGUUCUCAUUUUUUCUUUUCUGAUAAAGCUCUCUCUCUGAACCCAUUUUUGGUUCUCAUUUUUUCUGAUGAAGCUCUCUCUCUCUCUCUCUCUCUCUCUCUCUCUCUCUCUCUCUCUCUCUCUCUUCUGAUACAGCUCUCUACACCCAUAACCCAUCUCUAUACCCAAAUCUGAAUCAACUCUCCCUCUCGGUCUAUACCAAUCCAUAGCUCCGAUCCACAGCUCCGAUCCACAAGCACUGAUCAGUUAUUGUAUCUUCCUAGCUCCAAUCAGUUGAGUUUGGUUAAUACUCUGUGCUAGAUUGCGGUGUUUGGUGGUGGCGCUAGGUUGGUGGUUGGGUGGUUAUUCUGGCGCGCUGGGUUGUUGUAAUGGUUGGGGAAGAGAAGUCAUUUGACAGGGGAGAGAAAAUAAUGUAAAAAAAAUUGUUUAUACGGUGAACAGUAACCAUGUAUAUAUGCACGGUUACUGUUCAUUUUGCAAGACAUCGUGUAUAUUUAGACAUUUUUACAUGAACUGAUGUGGAAGAAUUUUGGGGGAAAAUGUGUAAAUUGGAGCACUUUUUGUAUUUUAGAUGAGGAUCCACGAGCUGGUAUGGAUGCUCUUAUGUACUAAUGUGUUUGGAUGAUAUGAUUUGAGUAUUUGGAUUUGGAUUUUGGUGAUUAAAA
Molecule: long non-coding RNA, 1119 nt
Organism: Quercus robur (English oak)
Lineage: Eukaryota; Viridiplantae; Streptophyta; Magnoliopsida; Fagales; Fagaceae
Exons: 2
Source: RefSeq, a predicted model, not a curated record